AGGAUAUAUUUGGCUAAGUGACUAAUAAAUACUCAAUGUAGCACAAUCACCAACCUUAUAACAUUCUAACUCAACAAUCAUCCACCUAUCACAAAAACCAAAUUUCCAAUACAAAAUCCAUCACAACACAAUAAUUAAUUCUCAUGAUAUUAUGACUUUCUAAAGCAUCCUAUGUACCCAUUUUUUUCAAUUCUUUUCUCUCUUUUCUUUUCUUUUCUUUUUUUUCUCUCUUUCUUUUCCUUUUUUUUUCUUUUUUUUCCUAACGACUUGUAGGGUACUAGGAUUUUUUCAAUCAAGAUCAAAGUACAUAAUCCAUAAACACACAUCUCCACAAACCAACUACCCCAUAACAACAAUCUCUAAGCUCCCACCCACGGCUAAACCAAAUAAAAUGAAAAAUAAAAGGCUCAAAGGGGUGAACUAGGAUCAUAUAUAGUAAUAGAACAAAUAUGGGAUAUAUAGGCUAGCAAAGACGAC
This 477-nucleotide long non-coding RNA is filed under the name Salvia miltiorrhiza (redroot sage). Its description in RNAcentral is "long non-coding RNA (SMIL_LNC014154)". Lineage: Eukaryota; Viridiplantae; Streptophyta; Magnoliopsida; Lamiales; Lamiaceae. The record is from RNAcentral.